GCAUCGACAAGGUUGUGGAUAUUGG
This 25-nucleotide non-coding RNA is filed under the name Mus musculus (house mouse). Lineage: Eukaryota; Metazoa; Chordata; Mammalia; Rodentia; Muridae. The record is from RNAcentral.